Molecule: ribosomal RNA, 253 nt
Filed under: uncultured bacterium
Lineage: Bacteria
Description: partial 16S ribosomal RNA
Rfam family: Bacterial small subunit ribosomal RNA
Source: RNAcentral
UACGGAGGGUGCAAGCGUUGUCCGGAUUUAUUGGGUUUAAAGGGUGCGUAGGCGGCCUGUUAAGUCAGGGGUGAAAGACGGUAGCUCAACUAUCGCAGUGCCCUUGAUACUGAUGGGCUUGAAUUGACUAGAGGUAGGCGGAAUGUGACAAGUAGCGGUGAAAUGCAUAGAUAUGUCACAGAACACCGAUUGCGAAGGCAGCUUACUAUGGUCUUAUUGACGCUGAGGCACGAAAGCGUGGGGAUCAAACAGG